This is a non-coding RNA of Pimephales promelas (fathead minnow), 714 nucleotides long. NCBI's taxonomy places the organism in Eukaryota, Metazoa, Chordata, Actinopteri, Cypriniformes, Leuciscidae. The record is from RefSeq and is a predicted model, not a curated record.
GAUGUGAUGCGUCAAACGCCACUUUUGAGUGUGAAUGUGAUCGGAAGAUUUCAGACCUUCAGGAGAAGAGAAGAUAAAUAUCGAUUUACAUCACGCCUUAUGCAAUGACGUCUGGAUCUCGUCCAGCAUGCAGUGAACCAGAGGAACGGAGAGACGUCCCAGCGGCCCGCAGUCCUGACAACACCCUCUAUCCCCCUCUGAAAUCUUUAUUUACUGCCCCUCGCCGCCGAGAAAGCAUCCCGGCUAGUCCAAACAUGGGAGUGGUUCUCGUAUUUCAGACCCCCACUUUGUCUUCUGUGCCGAGUUCAGCGAGGCUCCCGGUCAGAAAUGUACACAAGCCUAAUUCGAGUUCGAAGAUCUCCGAAUAACCCGAAAGGGAUCAAAUUAAAAUUCCAAGACGGGCGGAAAAAAAAAAAAAAGAAGGAGCGAUGUGGGGUUUGAAAGUGGCCCCUGCUUCUUUAAGCUGGAUUUAAGUGAUCAAAGUUUCAUACGAGGCAGCCAUUGGUGGUAUUGAGUUACUCUAAUGGCUGCCAUGUGCUCCUGCCGACGGGCCCGAUCCACGGGCGUCUCCGGGGUGUCAGGCGCAAGACAGUUGUAAAAAGAGGGAGAGCGGGAUCGGCUAAAACCAGAUGCCUCGUGCACUUUCAGACCUCGUGCAUUUUUUCCCGAAUUAGCUCCAGAUUUUUGGAGGAGCGUCGUGCACCGAGCAUCUCU